GCACUAUAAUGCUGAGAGAAGUAGCAAUUACUUUAUUCUAUAAGUAGUAACUGCAACAUCUCUCAGUAUUGUAAGGCUC
Molecule: microRNA precursor, 79 nt
Filed under: Mus pahari (shrew mouse)
Lineage: Eukaryota; Metazoa; Chordata; Mammalia; Rodentia; Muridae
Description: microRNA 883a (MGP_PahariEiJ_G0007850.1)
Rfam family: mir-883 microRNA precursor family
Source: RNAcentral